GAGUUUGAUCGUUGGCUACAGAUUGAACGCUGGCGGCAUGCCUUACACACUGCAAGUCGAACGGCAGCAUGAUCUAGCUUGCUAGAUUGAUGGCGAGUGGCGAACGGGUGAGUAAUACAUCGGAACGUGCCCUGUAGUGGGGGAUAACUAGUCGAAAGAUUAGCUAAUACCGCAUACGACCUGAGGGUGAAAGUGGGGGGACCGCAAGGCCUCAUGCUAUAGGAGCAGCCGAUGUCUGAUUAGCUAGUUGGUGGGGUUAAAGGCCCACCAAGGCGACGAUUCAGUAGCCUGGUCUGAGAGGACGAUCAGCCACACU
RNAcentral lists this ribosomal RNA (316 nucleotides) under uncultured microorganism. RNAcentral's name for it is "bacterial SSU rRNA". It matches the Rfam family "Bacterial small subunit ribosomal RNA", at positions 9 to 314 of the family's 1533-position model. The record is from RNAcentral.